GAAGCCCGCCAGGCCGCCGCUGGUGCAAGUGCCGAGAGGCCGCACUGGAGGAACGUCCGGACUGCACAGGGCAGCGUAGCAGGUAACACCUGUCCACCGUGAGGUGAGGAUCAGAGCAACAGAGACGAGUCCUCGCGCGCUUCGGUGCGCGAGGGGUGAAACGGGCAAUCUCUACGCGCAGCAAUACCAAAUAGGCCAGCGGUGAUCUGUGUCCCGGGGAGCUGGCGGGUAGGUAGCACCGAGCCGUGUCGGCGACGCACGGCCCAGAGGAAUGGCGGUCACGUCACGGGUAACCGUGACGCACAGAAUCCGGCGUAUCGGCGGGCUUCACAC
This 333-nucleotide RNase P RNA is filed under the name Ramlibacter rhizophilus. Its description in RNAcentral is "Bacterial RNase P class A". It matches the Rfam family "Bacterial RNase P class A". From Rfam's summary of the family: Ribonuclease P (RNase P) is a ubiquitous endoribonuclease, found in archaea, bacteria and eukarya as well as chloroplasts and mitochondria. Its best characterised activity is the generation of mature 5'-ends of tRNAs by cleaving the 5'-leader elements of precursor-tRNAs. Cellular RNase Ps are ribonucleoproteins. Lineage: Bacteria; Pseudomonadati; Pseudomonadota; Betaproteobacteria; Burkholderiales; Comamonadaceae. The record is from Rfam by way of RNAcentral.